RNAcentral lists this long non-coding RNA (3805 nucleotides) under Sus scrofa (pig). RNAcentral describes it as "lncRNA (ENSSSCG00025056923.1)". The record is from RNAcentral. Lineage: Eukaryota; Metazoa; Chordata; Mammalia; Artiodactyla; Suidae.
ACCGAACCCACAACCUCAUGGUUCCUAGUCGGAUUCGUUAACCACUGCGCCACGAUGGGAACUCCAGUUUUCCUGAAAUUUAAAGUGAAAACCAUCAGUGGGAUCUGUGGAGGUUUUUGGGUUUUUUGUUUGUUUGUUUGUUUGUUUUGUCUUUUUGCCUUUUCUAGGGCCGCUCCCUCAGCAUAUGGAGGUUCCCAGGCUAGGGGUCUAAUCGGAGAUGUUUCUGCAGGCCUACCCCAGGGCCAUAGCAAUGUGGGAUCCAAGCCGUGUCUGCAACCUACACCACAGCUCAUGGCAACACCGGAUCCUUAACCCACUGAACAAGGCCAGGGAUUGAACCCGCAACCUCAUGGUUUCUAGUCAGAUUCGUUAACCACUGAGCCACGGUGGGAACUCCUGUGGAAUUAUUUUUAAGAGAGACCCUAGAGAGAUACUGUCUCCAAUCUACAAUUAUGUGAGACCUAUAAGCUUGUAGUUUAUUUCUAAAAGUAAAUUAUUCUAUAAGAAACUAAAAACAAGGAGCUCAGUGAAUAUAUUUAAGUAAUGCUGCCAACUGUCUGUGAUGAAUUUUUUUUUUUAAUUUUACACCUGAGAGAUGUAAAAUUGAUUCUAAGUCCAUAUAUCAGAUGGUUAAAUGUUCUGAUUCAAUAUUUGGUGAAGGGCUGCUCUGUGACUUCAACUGUAUCUUAAUUAUUCUUUCUGCUAUGUCUAUUGUCUAUUGAUUUACUCAUUUCACUAAUGCAACCUCACGGAAAUCAAUCAAGUUCAUUUUCAAAAAUCCCAAUCUAAAGCCAAGACCAGGCUAAGGGUCGAAUUGGCAGCUGCUGCCGGCCUACGCCACAGCCACAGAAACCCAGGAUCUGAGCCGUGUCUGCGACCUACACCACAGCUCACAGCAAUGCCAGAUCCUUAACCCACUGAGCAAGGCCAGGGAUCGAACCUGUAUCCACAUGAGUAGUAGUAUGUCACAUAUAUUGCUCUAUACCUUGGUUUUUACUCACUUAGUAAUAUUAUAAUGGAAACUGCCAAAUCACCACAUCCAUAGACUGAAUCUAUAGCAUUUUUUUUUAACAAUUGCAAAAUUAAAUUAUGGCAAUAUACUAUAAUUUAACCAGUGGCAUAUUUGGAUUGCUUCCAAGCUUUUGCUAUUACAAGCAGGGCUACAAAGAAGCACCCGGGACAUGUGUGUCUUUGAAUACGUAUGUAAGCACAUUUGAAAGAUAAAUUCCUAAAUGUGGAAUUGCUGAGUCAGUGGGUAAGUCUCUGCAUAAUUUUGCUAAGUUGCUAUCUUGGAGACACAAUAUUACUGAUUGACGGUUUCACUGAUAGUGUGUUGUUGAGAGAGUUUUCUCCCACUAAUGGGUAGUAACAACUUUAUGACAUAUUAGAUUACUACUUGAAUUUGGGCUACUCUUCAGUUUUCUUGUGUCUGCCCAGAUAGGCUUGUAACAAGAAAUUUCUUUCCUUUUGGUGCAUGUCCAUCAAGGGUCAGCUAGGGGCUCUGCUCCACAUCUUCUUACUCAAAAACUCAGGCUAACAGGGCUGCGUCCGUCUUAAACAUUGCCAAUAGUCCUGGCUAAGGAAAAGAGGGCUCUGGAGAGCCUUGCACCAUCAAUAAAUACUGUCCAGCCUGAAAGUGACAAACAUCAACUCCCUUUACAACUCAUUACCAAGUAUUUGUUACAUGGCCUCACCUACUAUAAGAGGGCCAGGAAGUACAGUCAUACAUGUGCCUAGAAGGAAAGCUGAUAGUAUUUGGCAGACAGCAGUUACAUCUGACUACCAUAUCUCUACUCUGUUAAUCUGUCAAUGUAUGUGGUAAUAACACAGGAUUUUCUUUUUUGAUAUAUUUCUGGCUAUUCUCUCAUUUUCAUUUUUUCCUAUUAAACUAGGAUUAACCACCCUUCUCUGUCCAGAAAGAGCCAGAUUCUGUCAAUAUUUUUUAUUAUAUAUCUUUUUUUUUUUUUUUUUUUUUUUUUUUGUCUUUUUGCUAUUUCUUGGGCCGCUCCCACGGCAUAUGGGGGUUCCCAGGCUAGGGGUCAAAUCGGAGCUGCAGCUACCGGCCUACGCCAGAGCCACAGCAACACGGGAUCUGAGCCGCAUCUGCAACCUACACCACAGCUCACGGCAACGCCGGAUCCUUAACCCACUGAGCAAGGGCAGGGACCGAACCCGCAACCUCAUGGUUCCUAGUCAGAUUCGUUAACCACUGCGCCACGACAGGAACUCCAAGAAGCAGAUAUAUCUUUUUAGCUAUUUACAUCCUCUUUUGCUUUAAAAAAAAAAAAAAAAAAAAUUGGCUGUGCUUGCAUGUAGAAAUUCCCAGGCCAGGUUUCAAACCAACACCACAGCAGCAACCUGAGCUGCUGCAGUAACAACACUGUAUUCUUAAACCACUGAGCAAGGCCAGGGAUCAGACCUGCAUCCUCAUGGAUACUAGCCAGGUUCUUAACCCACUGAGCCAAAAUGGGAACUCCUGUUUUUUUUCUUUAAAGGAAUUAUUUAUUUUACUGUCAUCUGUAAAUGAUAAUUUUAGUUCCUUCUUUACAAUUAGGUUGGCUUUCUUGAAGGAUCAGAAAGGAUAUAAUCAUUUCUCAAAUAACAUACUUCCCUAGCCCGGGAACUUCCAUAUGCUACAGGUGUGGCAGUAAAUAAAUAAAUGUUUUUCUUUCCAUGAUUCUUAUUUAUAUUAAUCCUAAUAAUUAAAUAGAUUAACAUUACAUCAACAAUAAAUACUCUUUACUCCACCAUCUAGAAGCACUUAUCAGAUUUUUAAGAAAUAUAUUUAAUUUGUGCUCUGCAGGUGUCUGUUAUGCCCACCUGUACAAGAACCAAGAGCAGAUAAGCCAUUAAUAUAGAAUAGGAUCUGGCUCUAAAGAAAGAGGUUCACUGGUCCAUUAAUCAGACUUGAGAAGUGUUGAAAAUUAAAUAUCUGCAGGUAAUUAGAGUAUGGUUUUUGAGUAAUGUAGGCAUUGCUCUCGUAUUGCAUUCUGAUUUUUUUGUCGUUGUUGGUGGGGGAUUAGCUUUUUUCAAGACUUAGGCAGGUAUUAUAUUACACCUAGGGUUUACUUCAUAUUGAGGAUGAGAACUGCUCAUUGCUUCUCAUUUCUUUUCAUUACCUUGGUGUAAUUAUGGUGUAAAGUUCAAUGUAAGAGUAUUUUCCUCCCUUACAACUUGUUUUUCAUUUCAUUCUCCUCCUAUCUCAGCAUUACUCUGUGCUCUUUUUCGUACAACUAGUGCUCUUAAAAGUUCCAUCCUUAAUCACAAGACUGUGAAUUAAAUAGAUGUCAGUAGUUAAAGCCUAAUAAGAUCAUUUGUGAAAUUAUUGUGCAUGUAUGGUUAUGCCUGGGAUAGAAGCCCAAAGGGAAUGAAUAUAAGACAUCAAAUUUGAAUCCUUUACCGUCAUCAAAGUGAAGUCUCAUAGGGAGUUCCUAUCGUGGCUCAGCAGUAACCAGCCCAACUAAGAUCCAUGAAGAUGUAGGGUCUAUCCCUGGCCUCAUUCAGUGGGUUAAGGAUCCAUUGUUGGUGUGAGAUGUGGUGUACGUCACAGAUGCGGCUCAGAUCCCGAAUUGCUGUGGCUGUGGUGUAGGCCGGCAGCUGUAGCUCCUAUUUGACCCCUAGCCUGGGAACUUCCAUACACCAUGGGUGUGGCCCUAAAAAGCAAAAUAAAUAAAUAAAUAAAUAAAUAAAAGUGAGGUCUCAUAAAAAUCUGUUGGGGAAUUCUCUGGUGACUCAGCAGGUUAAGGAUCUGGCAUUGUUACUGCUGUGGCACAGGUUCAAUUCCUGGCCCAGGAAGUUCUGCAGG